This 279-nucleotide ribosomal RNA is filed under the name uncultured bacterium. RNAcentral describes it as "partial 16S ribosomal RNA". It matches the Rfam family "Bacterial small subunit ribosomal RNA", at positions 506 to 784 of the family's 1533-position model. The record is from RNAcentral.
UGCCAGCCGCCGCGGUAACACGGAGGCCCCAAGCGUUGUUCGGAAUUACUGGGCGUAAAGAGUGCGUAGGCGGCGGGGUAAGUCAGAUGUGAAAGCCCGGGGCUCAACCCCGGAAUAGCAUCCGAUACUGCCCUGCUAGAGGAUUGGAGAGGAGACUGGAAUUCACGGUGUAGCAGUGAAAUGCGUAGAUAUCGUGAGGAAGGCCAAUUGCGAAGGCAGGUCUCUGGACAACUCCUGACGCUGAGGCACGAAGGCCAGGGUGGCGAAAAGGAUUAGAUA